UAGUGUCAUUGAUUAGUUGGAGGUCUUGC
Molecule: non-coding RNA, 29 nt
Filed under: Rattus norvegicus (Norway rat)
Lineage: Eukaryota; Metazoa; Chordata; Mammalia; Rodentia; Muridae
Source: RNAcentral